ACAAUGAAGAGUUUGAUCCUGGCUCAGGAUGAACGCUAGCUACAGGCUUAACACAUGCAAGUCGAGGGGCAUCAUGCUUAUAGCAAUAUAAGUGAUGGCGACCGGCGCACGGGUGAGUAACACGUAUCCAACCUGCCGAUAACUCGGGGAUAGCCUUUCGAAAGAAAGAUUAAUACCCGAUGGUAUAAUAAAACCGCAUGGUUUAAUUAUUAAAGAAUUUCGGUUAUCGAUGGGGAUGCGUUCCAUUAGGCAGUUGGUGAGGUAACGGCUCACCAAACCUUCGAUGGAUAGGGGUUCUGAGAGGAAGGUCCCCCACAUUGGAACUGAGACACGGUCCAAACUCCUA
This 346-nucleotide ribosomal RNA is filed under the name Bacteroides thetaiotaomicron. RNAcentral's name for it is "bacterial SSU rRNA". It matches the Rfam family "Bacterial small subunit ribosomal RNA", at positions 1 to 341 of the family's 1533-position model. Lineage: Bacteria; Pseudomonadati; Bacteroidota; Bacteroidia; Bacteroidales; Bacteroidaceae. The record is from RNAcentral.